CCCCCCCCCGUCACCAGGGCCGGCUUGUCCAAGGCCGAUUCCGGACCACCCAGCGGCACGCUCACAUGCCAGGGGUGUGGAUAGUGUGAAGCGUGCGGUCCUGGGCAAGGGGGCGGGAGCGUGGAGGCUGUCCUGCUGGACCUCAGCAUCCUCCACUGCAGCGAGGGCAGGAAGAUUGCCGGGGUCUGGAUUCCUCGCUGGGGUGCCGUCAUGAGGGACUAUCUAACAAUUCGCGAGAAUGUUUAUAGUUGUGCAGCCCUCAUGACGAGCACCCGCUUCCAGCUAUAUGAUGUCAAUCGGCGGACCCUGACGCAAUGGCACAACCAGAGGAGCAAGGCCAUGAUGAGGGACACCAUCGCCAUUGCAGUCCUGGGGCCCAGCACUCCCCAGACUGCAGCGG
Long non-coding RNA from Dicentrarchus labrax (European seabass), 400 nucleotides. RefSeq lists it as uncharacterized. The record is from RefSeq and is a predicted model, not a curated record. The transcript is spliced from 3 exons. Lineage: Eukaryota; Metazoa; Chordata; Actinopteri; Moronidae.